CCACCCACCAUCCUGACCCUCCUAGAAGGUACACCAUACCACAGCACCCGACAUAGCUGACCACCCACCAUCCUGACCCUCCUAGAAGGUACAACAUACCACAGCAUCCACUAUACUGACCAUCCUGACCCUCCUAGAUGGUACAACAUACCACAGCACCCACUAUACUGACCCUCCUAGAAGGUACAACAUACCACAGCACCCACUAUACUGACCAUCCUAGAAGGUACAACAUACCACAGCACCCACUAUACUGACCCUCCACUAUACUGACCCUCCUAGAAGGUACAACAUACCACAGCACCCACUAUACUGACCCUCCUAGAAGGUACAACAUACCACAGCACCCAAUAUAACUGACCAUCCACUAUACUGACCCUCCUAGAAGGUACAACAUACCACAGCACCCACUAUACUGACCAUCCUGACCCUCCUAGAAGGUACAACAUACCACAGCACCCACUAUACUGACCAUCCUGACCCUCCUAGAAGGUACAACAUACCACAGCACCCACCAUCCUGACCCUCCUAGAAGGUACAACAUACCACAGCACCCACUAUAACUGACCACCCACCAUCCUGACCCUCCUAGAAGGUACACCAUACCACAGCACCCACUAUACUGACCCUCCUAGAAGGUACAACAUACCACAGCACCCACUAUAACUGACCCUCCUAGAAGGUACAACAUACCACAGCACCCACUAUACUGAGCCUCCUAGAAGGUACAUCAUACCACAGCACCCACUAUACUGACCCUCCUAGAAGGUACAACAUACCACAGCACCCACUAUACUGACCCUCCUAGAAGGUACACCAUACCACAGCACCCACUAUACUGAGCCUCCUAGAAGGUACAACACACCACAGUACCCACUAUACUGACCCUCCUAGAAGGUACAACAUACCACAGCACCCACUAUACUGACCCUCCUAGAAGGUACAACAUACCACAGCACCCAC
Molecule: long non-coding RNA, 963 nt
Organism: Oncorhynchus tshawytscha (Chinook salmon)
Lineage: Eukaryota; Metazoa; Chordata; Actinopteri; Salmoniformes; Salmonidae
Source: Ensembl